Molecule: transfer RNA, 73 nt
Filed under: Ornithorhynchus anatinus (platypus)
Lineage: Eukaryota; Metazoa; Chordata; Mammalia; Monotremata; Ornithorhynchidae
Description: tRNA-Phe (GAA) (tRNA-Phe-GAA-14-1)
Rfam family: tRNA
About the family: Transfer RNA (tRNA) molecules are approximately 80 nucleotides in length.
Source: RNAcentral
CCUUCGAUAACUCAGCUGAUAGAGCGGAGGACUGAAGAUCCUUAGGUUGCUGGUUCGAUUCCGGCUCGAAGGA